This 963-nucleotide long non-coding RNA is filed under the name Ananas comosus (pineapple). RNAcentral describes it as "long non-coding RNA (ACOM_LNC039029)". The record is from RNAcentral. Lineage: Eukaryota; Viridiplantae; Streptophyta; Magnoliopsida; Poales; Bromeliaceae.
CGACCUAUGUUCGCUCGUGCGGUAUUGAGAAGCCUACGGGGUCGAGUGGGACAGACACAUUCCAAGAGUAGGAAUGUCGGGCUACCACAGGCACUUAGGCGGCACAAGCUGGACUACCUUGGGUAAGUCCCUAAUUGGAAAUGGAAAUCGACACGGGGUUGAGGAUGAAUGAUCACUACUAGAUAGACUUAGUAGUUGGGUUACAUUACAUGCUUUUAGCAUAGUGUGAGACGUGUAGUAUACGUGGUUGCCAUAUUAGAACUACAACAUUAUGUAUUGACAAAGGUUAACAACAUUAAACUAGUGUGAUUGGACUUAAUUGUAAUGAUAGAAUAGAUGUACAUUUUGGUUGACAUCAUGCUUAUUUGAGACACAGUAGACUAGCAUUUCAUUUAUGCUUUCUUUCAGCAGUUUAUGUAUAUGCUCCUUAUUGCUUUCAUUAUUAUCGUUACUUACCCUUGUUUUUGGGGCCUAGUGGAGCAAGAGCUGAGGUCAGUAAUUGCCCACUGGGAACUAUAAAUUAUAGUUCUCACGCCCUCUCUUUCUCGAUGUUUUUCAGAGCCUUCCACGCAGGGAGAGGCCAGGGAUCGCGGAAAGGGUAUCGCCUCGGGCUAGCGUGCUUACCGAGGGAUCGUUCGAUAGGUGGUCUACCUCUCGUGUUAUCUUUUUGUGAGAGGUUGAGAGUUGUACCCGUAUAUGUAUAGAGACCACCAUUUUUGUACUAGAGACAGAUAUUGUACUACUUAUGAUUUCCUUUAUUGUCUAUCCUUAUCUGCUUACUUUGGUGUAGAUGCUAGAACUAUAUUUGCUCUGAUAUCAUUAGUUGCUGGUUAUUCCACUUCUUUUAUUUGUUCCAUUUCUUGCUUUUCUUCCGCUUUUAUUGUAGACGCCUUAUAUGUGUAGACAUAUGGCGGGUCUGGGCACGCUACCGGGAGGGCCUCCGCCGGUCCCGGGGCGUGACAC